UGGGGAUUCGUCUAGCGGUAGGACGACAGACUCUGAAUCUGUAAGCAUAGGUUCGAUUCCUAUAUCCCCAGCCA
This 74-nucleotide transfer RNA is filed under the name SAR202 cluster bacterium. RNAcentral's name for it is "tRNA-Gln". It matches the Rfam family "tRNA". From Rfam's summary of the family: Transfer RNA (tRNA) molecules are approximately 80 nucleotides in length. Their secondary structure includes four short double-helical elements and three loops (D, anti-codon, and T loops). Lineage: Bacteria; Bacillati; Chloroflexota; Dehalococcoidia. The record is from RNAcentral.